RNAcentral lists this ribosomal RNA (884 nucleotides) under uncultured Acidobacteriota bacterium. Its description in RNAcentral is "bacterial SSU rRNA". It matches the Rfam family "Bacterial small subunit ribosomal RNA", at positions 62 to 918 of the family's 1533-position model. Lineage: Bacteria; Pseudomonadati; Acidobacteriota. The record is from RNAcentral.
CCAGAAAACGCGUGGGGGCUUCGGCCCUGAGUAGAGUGGCGAACGGGUGAGUAACACGUGGGUGAUCUACCUCUGAGUGGGGGAUAACGUUCCGAAAGGAGCGCUAAUACCGCAUGACGUUCCGGGUUUGAAGACCUGGAAACCAAAGCCGGGGACCGCAAGGCCUGGCGCUUGGAGAGGAGCCCGCGCCUGAUUAGCUGGUUGGUGGGGUAACGGCCCACCAAGGCGACGAUCAGUAGCCGGCCUGCAGUAGGGCGGACGGCCACACUGGGCACUGAUGACACGGCCCCAGACUCCUACGGGAGGCCGCAGUGGGGAAUUGUUCACAAUGGGCGCAAGCCUGACGACGCAACGCCGCGUGGAGGAUGAAGGUCUUCGGAUUGUAAACUCCUGUUGAUCGGGACGAAUGGGCUCCAACCCAACACGUUGGGGCAGUGACGGUACCGAUUGAGGAAGCCACGGCUAACUCUGUGCCAGCAGCCGCGGUAAUACAGAGGUGGCAAGCGUUGUUCGGAAUUACUGGGCGUAAAGGGCGCGUAGGUGGCUGUCUAAGUCAGACGUGAAAUCCCCAGGCUUAACUUGGGAACUGCGUCUGAUACUGGAGAGCUUGAGCUCGGGAGAGGGAUGUGGAAUUCCAGGUGUAGCGGUGAAAUGCGUAGAUAUCUGGAGGAACACCGGUGGCGAAGGCGGCAUCCUGGACCGAAACUGACACUGAGGCGCGAAAGCCAGGGGAGCAAACGGGAUUAGAUACGCGGUAGUCCUGGCCCUAAACGAUGAGUGCUUGGUGUGGCGGGUAUCGAUCCCUGCCGUGCCGAAGCUAACGCAUUAAGCACUCCGCCUGGGGAGUACGGUCGCAAGGCUGAAACUCAAAUGAAUUGACGGGG